Molecule: long non-coding RNA, 2868 nt
Filed under: Anser cygnoides (Swan goose)
Lineage: Eukaryota; Metazoa; Chordata; Aves; Anseriformes; Anatidae
Description: lncRNA (ENSACDG00005006771.1)
Source: RNAcentral
CAGGCGCCCCCUCCCCGGCCUCCCUGGUGGUGCUGCGGCGGCGGCAGAAGGUGGGUCCCUGGGUGGGGGGGUGUGACACACGUGGGGGGGGUCCAUUUGUGCCCCCCCCCCGCUCAGUGUCCCCUGCUGUCCCCAGGGCUGUCCCCAGUGGGAGGCGGUGGCCGCCCCCCGGCUGGAGGCGGGGGUCCGGGCCCACGUCCUGCGGGCGCUCAACGGGGGGGACCCGGCGCAGCUGCGGGGGCUGGGGCCCCGCCGGGGGGGGCGCGUCCACGCCUGGCGCCAGGAGCACGGCCCCUUCCGCACGGUGGAGGACCUGGCGGCGGUGCCCGGCUUCUCGGCGGCGCAGGUGGCCACGCUGCUGCAGGCCAAUGUCCCCGCUGCCCUGGGGACAGCCCCGUCGUUGUCCCCCGGACCCCAAUAAACAGCCGCGAACGCCGACCCCGCCUGGCUGCGUGCGCGUGGGGGCGGGGACAAGGGGAGGGGCUCCUGGAGAGGACUCCCCGCACCCAGAGGACCUCCUCUCCAUCCUACGCUCACCUUGGUGCCCGCAGGCCGCUUCCUCCUGCAAGAGGACCCUUGAGGGACCAAGACUUGGGCAUUGGAGCUCCUCCACCUUGCGUUUGUGGUGGGGCUCCACCUCUCCCAGCACUCCCCCUGUGGUUCAAGAGCCUCCGUUCCUCGACUUGCCGUCGGGAUCUCGUGCAGAAGACUUCACCCAUCGGGACCUCGUCGUGCAGAAGACCUUGCCCUCCUUGGGAGGUCACGGUGAUGGUGGGACUCGAUCUCCAAAUCCUCCACCCGAUUUUAGGAUGCUGCGGUUCAGGAUCUUGGCACCGGAGGACUCCCGGACCUGCAGAAUGCCCAAAGGAGCAUCGCUCGUUUUUGGGAUGUAGAGCGUAAAUUCUUUCCUCUGCACUUCCACACAGCCUCUGCUUGUUUUUUUUAUUUCCUUUUCCCCCUUUCCCUUUUUAAAAAUUAUAUAAUUAAUAAUAAUUUUCCCUUAAUAAUUAUGUAUUCCUUUCACUAAAUUAUCCUUAUGUGUACCCGUGAGCUGUUUCUUUCCUUUUCUUCUUCCCCUCCUCUUCUGAGGAGGGGCAGUGAGAGCGGUUGUGGCAGAGUUCAGCUGCCUGGCAAGGAAAAACCACCCCAAAAUCUGCUGUGACUCUGGGGCAGGACGCGAGGGCGCGGUGCCCUGCGGCGACAUCUCUGAGCGUCUCUCUCGAGCCGUGAAGUAUCUCCCAAGGGGACCGAAGCAUCUCUCCGUGGAGAAUUGCAUCUCCCCAGGACAUAAAAGCACUUGCCUGGAGCAACCACAUUUCAGCUCUUUCUCCCCAGGGAUCCCAAGGUUCUUUCUGGAGGACACGUGCACCUCCCCACGGCCCUCAAGCACGUGAUUGGAGCACUGAAAGCUUCCUCUGCGAACCCAUCGCCUCCUGAGGCGCUAAGACAUCGCCCAGUGGCAUACGAGCGUUACUUUGAAGAACCCAGCCCCUAAAUAGAAAACCCAAUCAACUCCUCGGAAGACCCAAGCACCUCUCUGGGCAACAAAGGCACCCAAAGUUCUCCCGCGAGCCGCCCCAGCAUCUCUCUGCAGCGCAGAAGCACCUCCCUGGAGCACCCAAGCCUCUCACCGGAGAACCCAAGAACGUCCCCACCGCACUCCUACAGCUGAGCGGAGAACCCGAGCGCCUCCCUGGGGCUCCAGAACACCUCCUGGGGCGGUUCUGGGCACCGCAGUACGAAAAGGACGUGAGACUGUUGGAGAGUGUCCAGAGGAGGGCGACGAAGAUGGUGAAGGGCCUAGAGGGGCAGACGUAUGAGGAGCGGCUGAGGUCACUUGGCCUUUUCAGCCUGGAGAAGAGGAGGCUGAGGGGAGACCUCAUCGCAGCCUACAGCUUCCUCACGCGGGGGAGCGAAGGGGAAGGCACCGAUCUGUUCUCUUCAGAGAUAGGACCCGAGGGAACGGUGUCAAGCUGCGGCAGGGGAGGUUCAGGCUGGACAUCAGGAAGAGGUUCUUCACCGAGAGGGCGGUCGCCCGCUGGAACAGGCUCCCCAGGGAAGGAGUCACUGCACCAAGCCUGCCAGAGUUUAAGAAGCGUUUGGACUGUGCACUUAGUCACAUGGUCUGAAUUUUGGGGUAGACCUGUGCGGUGCCAGGAGCUGGACUCGAUGAUCCUUAUGGGUCCCUUCCAAGUGGGGAUGUUCUAUGAUUUUAUGAUUCUAAGAUCCUGAACUCCGCCAUCUCACUGUCACUGCAGCCAAGACUGAAGGGCCUCAUUAUCGUGCAGUUCCUCCAAAAUUGUCAUGCAGUCCCACAGCUCGGCACCGCUGGGCCCGGUUUUGUCCCUGUCCCCCUUCAGAUCCAGUUUAAAGCCCUGUCCAUCAGCCCUGCUGACUCCUGGGCAAAGAUCCCUCAAAGAAAGGUGCUCCCCAUCAGGAGUCAGUAGGCUCAGUGUCACGUAGACCUCCCCACCAUCAAGAAACCCAAAACUCUGUCAGUGGCACCAGCCUCGGCGCCACGUAUUGAUCUGCCCGUUCCUUUCAAUAUUGAUCCCCGCCACUGGAAGGAAGGAGGAAACCACCACCCAUGCACCUGAUCCUAUUCACCUCAAGUCCUCUGCUGUGCCUCGUCUCCCUCUUUCAGGAUCCUCAUUUCUACUUUCUCCCCCAUGGCUUUUAAAUUCCUGAGCAGCUCAUCUUUGUAAGUACGGAGCCUCGCAGGGCUGAGGUGGUCAGGUGUACGGAUUGAUAAGGAAAGAGACAGAAUGUGGGAGUGUUGAUUGGGUUAAAAAUAAGAAACGAUUGGGUUAAAAAGAAAAGAUUGGGUUAAAAAAUAAAAGUUUGGGUUAAGAAGAAAAGAUUGGGCUA